This 491-nucleotide ribosomal RNA is filed under the name uncultured bacterium. RNAcentral describes it as "partial 16S ribosomal RNA". It matches the Rfam family "Bacterial small subunit ribosomal RNA", at positions 29 to 507 of the family's 1533-position model. The record is from RNAcentral.
AGUGAACGCUGGCGGUAGGCCUAACACAUGCAAGUCGAACGGCAGCACAGUAAGAGCUUGCUCUUACGGGUGGCGAGUGGCGGACGGGUGAGGAAUACAUCGGAAUCUACUUUUUCGUGGGGGAUAACGUAGGGAAACUUACGCUAAUACCGCAUACGACCUACGGGUGAAAGCAGGGGUCUUCGGACCUUGCGCGAGUGAAUGAGCCGAUGUCGGAUUAGCUAGUUGGCGGGGUAAAGGCCCACCAAGGCGACGAUCCGUAGCUGGUCUGAGAGGAUGAUCAGCCACACUGGAACUGAGACACGGUCCAGACUCCUACGGGAGGCAGCAGUGGGGAAUAUUGGACAAUGGGCGCAAGCCUGAUCCAGCCAUACCGCGUGGGUGAAGAAGGCCUUCGGGUUGUAAAGCCCUUUUGUUGGGAAAGAAAAGCAGCAGGUUAAUACCCCGCUGUUCUGACGGUACCCAAAGAAUAAGCACCGGCUAACUUCGUG